RNAcentral lists this non-coding RNA (18 nucleotides) under Arabidopsis thaliana (thale cress). Lineage: Eukaryota; Viridiplantae; Streptophyta; Magnoliopsida; Brassicales; Brassicaceae. The record is from RNAcentral.
UAAGACAGCAGGACGGUG